This 18-nucleotide small nuclear RNA is filed under the name Arabidopsis thaliana (thale cress). Its description in RNAcentral is "snRNA_11609". Lineage: Eukaryota; Viridiplantae; Streptophyta; Magnoliopsida; Brassicales; Brassicaceae. The record is from RNAcentral.
AAGAGAAGAUUAGAUUCU